This is a long non-coding RNA of Cuculus canorus (common cuckoo), 1030 nucleotides long. RefSeq lists it as uncharacterized. The transcript is spliced from 3 exons. NCBI's taxonomy places the organism in Eukaryota, Metazoa, Chordata, Aves, Cuculiformes, Cuculidae. The record is from RefSeq and is a predicted model, not a curated record.
AGAUCCACGUCCUCUGCAAUCCAGGAGGUGAUAUAUAAGGACUACUGCCUUCCAAGUCCUCAGAUUGCAGGUCCUCGCUUCUCCUCUUCAUUGAUCUGAGUUCACCUCCCUGCCUGCAGGAUGUCCUUCUCCAACCAACAGCUCAGCUCCCGCUGCUUCCCACCCUGUGAGGUGACCUGCCCGCAGCCCUUGGCCAACACCUGGAACCAGCCCUGCAUCACCUCCUGCGGGGACUCCCGUGCUGUGGUCUACCCACCACCUGUGGUCAUCACCUUCCCGGGCCCCAUCCUCAGCUCCUGCCCUCAGGAGAGCUACGUGGGCACCUCAGUGCCGCUGGAGGUUGGCCGUCCCAGGGGCCUGCAAGGUUCUCUCAUCUAUGGUGGCUCCUUGAGCUCCUCCUCCAGCCAGCACUGGAGCCAGCGCUACGGUGGCUGUGGGCCAUGUUAAGCACAGCAGAAGGUGUGGAUGGCAGGAGAAACAGCGGGGAACCUGCAGCAAGACCUGGAUGAGCUGAGGAGCACGGCACUGUGAUGCAGUGGAACCUACAGGUGCUUCUCAGCACCCCUGUGAACUGCUCUUCUGGUUGCCCUUCUCAUUCUCUGUUUGCUCUUAAUGUCAGUUUUCUCAAUACACUUCUUUCCCAUUCUUAGAAACCCAAUUCCUGAUGCUGCACAACCUGUUUCUCAUUGUUAAAGCACCAAAGCACCAGUAUCGAUGUGGAAUUGUGCAUGUAUGUUUUUAGUUGUUUGAGACCAUACAUCUUUUCCUUUGGUAGCCUUUUCUUUUGAUACGUAUUUGUCUGAUAGGAAAGAUCCGCAGAUGUCACCUUGUGCUAUGAUUUCUCAAGUCCGCUUGAAAUUGGAACCAAGAAAGAAGAACAACAUGCUGAAAAUAAAUCAGUUUAAUGCAGACUGUUAAAUUGACCUUCUUUUUUUCUUUUAACCACUGAAGUUUGUCUUGUAUUUUUCCUUUAUCUUGCUAAAAAUGUACAUUUUUUUUCUCCCAAUAAACACUUCUGAUUGCAUCCAAA